RNAcentral lists this ribosomal RNA (253 nucleotides) under uncultured bacterium. RNAcentral's name for it is "partial 16S ribosomal RNA". It matches the Rfam family "Bacterial small subunit ribosomal RNA", at positions 524 to 776 of the family's 1533-position model. The record is from RNAcentral.
UACGUAGGGGGCGAGCGUUGUCCGAAGUUACUGGGCGUAAAGCGCGUGUAGGCGGACCUCUAAGUGAGGGGUGAAAGGUUCGGGCUCAACCCGAGCACUGCCUCUCAUACUGGGGGUCUUGAGUGCGGGAGAGGCGAGUGGAAUGGUCGGUGUAGCGGUGAAAUGCGUAGAUAUCGAUCGGAACACCCAUGGCGAAGGCAGCUCGCUGGCCUGCAACUGACGCUGAGACGCGAAAGCGUGGGGAGCAAACAGG